Molecule: ribosomal RNA, 497 nt
Filed under: uncultured bacterium
Lineage: Bacteria
Description: partial 16S ribosomal RNA
Rfam family: Bacterial small subunit ribosomal RNA
Source: RNAcentral
GACGAACGCUGGCGGCGUGCCUAAUACAUGCAGGUCGAGCGAACGGACGAGAAGCUUGCUUCUCUGAUGUUAGCGGCGGACGGGUGAGUAACACGUGGAUAACCUACCUAUAAGACUGGGAUAACUUCGGGAAACGGGAGCUAAUACCGGAUAAUAUUUUGAAGCGCAUGGUUCAAAAGUGAAAGACGGUCUUGCUGUCACUUAUAGAUGGAUCCGCGCUGCAUUAGCUAGUUGGUAAGGUAACGGCUUAUCAAGGCAACGAUGCAUAGCCGACCUGAGAGGGUGAUCGGCCACCCUGGAACUGAGACACGGUCCAGACUCCUACGGGAGGCAGCAGUAGGGAAUCUUCCGCAAUGGGCGAAAGCCUGACGGAGCAACGCCGCGUGAGUGAUGAAGGUCUUCGGAUCGUAAAACUCUGUUAUUAGGGAAGAACAUAUGUGUAAGUAACUGUGCACAUCUUGACGGUACCUAAUCAGAAAGCCACGGCUAACUACGUG